AUGGGCCAUUUUUUCCCAGACCUCUCAUACCCGUUCACGGGUCCGUGUACGGGUCCGUGUACGCGGCGUGUGCCACGUACAUGGUUUUGCCCAGUUUUCCAUGGCGCGCGUCAACUUCCGUUCACGACGGCCGUCGGGCACUUUUUUCCCGUGUCCACGUACAGCCCGUUCACGGGUCCGUGUAAGGGUCCGUGUACGCGGCGUGUGCCACGUACGUGGUUUUGCCCAGUUUUCCAUGGCGCGCGUCAACUUCCGUCCACGACGGCCGUCGGGCACUUUUUUCCCGUGUCCACGUACCGCCCGUUCACGGGUCCGUGUAAGGGUCCGUGUACGCGGCGUGUGCCACGUACGUGGUUUUGCCCAGUUUUCCAUGGCGCGCGUCCACUUCCGUCCACGACGGCCGUCGGGCACUUUUUUCCCGUGUCCACGUACAGCCCGUUCACGGCUCCGUGUAAGGGUCCGUGUACGCGGCGUGUGCCACGUACGUGGUUUUGCCCAGUUUUCCAUGGCCCGCGUCAACUUCCGUCCACGACGGCCGUCGGGCACUUUUUUCCCGUGUCCACGUACAGCCCGUUCACGGCUCCGUGUAAGGGUCCGUGUACGUGGCGUGUGCCACGUACGUGGUUUUGCCCAGUUUUCCAUGGCGCGCGUCAACUUCCGUCCACGACGGCCGUCGGGCACUUUUUUCCCGUGUCCACGUACAGCCCGUUCACGCCUCCGUGUAAGGGUCCGUGUACGCGGCGUGUGCCACGUACGUGGUUUUGCCCAGUUUUCCAUGGCGCGCGUCAACUUCCGUCCACGACGGCCGUCGGGCACUUUUUUCCCGUGUCCACGUACAGCCCGUUCACGGGUCCGUGUAAGGGUCCGUGUACGCGGCGUGUGCCACGUACGUGGUUUUGCCCAGUUUUCCAUGGCGCGCGUCAACUUCCGUCCAUGACGGCCGUCGGGCACUUUUUUCCCGUGUCCACGUACAGCCCGUUCACGGGUCCGUGUAAGGGGCCGUGUACGCGGCGUGUGCCACGUACGUGGUUUUGCCCAGUUUUCCAUGGCGCGCGUCAACUUCCGUCCACGACGGCCGUCGGGCACUUUUUUCCUGUGUCCACGUACAGCCCGUUCACGGGUCCGUGUAAGGGGCCGUGUACGCGGCGUGUGCCACGUACGUGGUUUUGCCUAGUUUUCCAUGGCGCGCGUCCACUUCCGUCCAGGACGGCCGUUGGCCAGUUUUUUCCCGUGUCCACGUACAGCCCGUUCACGGGUCCGUGUAAGGGUCCGUGUACGCGGCGUGUGCCACGUACGUGGUUUUGCCCAGUUUUCCAUGGCGCGCGUCAACUUCCGUCCACGACGGCCGUCGGCCAGUUUUUUCCCGUGUCCACGUACAGCCCGUUCACGGCUCCGUGUAAGGGUCCGUCUACGCGGCGUGUGCCACGUACGUGGUUUUGCCCGGUUUUCCAUGGCGCGCGUCAACUUCCGUCCACGACGGCGGUCGGCCAGUUUUUUCCCGUGUCCUCGUACAGCCCGUUCACGGCUCCCUUUAAGUGUUUUUGCCUGGUGAUCAAUGGGGCGCGUCCACAUCCGUCCAUGAAGUAUGUCAAGCACUUCUUUCCCGGGUCCCUGUACAGCCCGUUCAUGGGUCCGUGUAAGUGUCUUUGUGAUGAGUUGCACACAUGA
RNAcentral lists this ribosomal RNA (1668 nucleotides) under Triticum aestivum (bread wheat). Its description in RNAcentral is "partial small subunit ribosomal RNA". Lineage: Eukaryota; Viridiplantae; Streptophyta; Magnoliopsida; Poales; Poaceae. The record is from RNAcentral.